Theobroma umbraticum is the source of this 449-nucleotide long non-coding RNA. RefSeq lists it as uncharacterized. Lineage: Eukaryota; Viridiplantae; Streptophyta; Magnoliopsida; Malvales; Malvaceae. The record is from RefSeq and is a predicted model, not a curated record.
UUCAAAGAACUUGAGGCAUGCCUGUAGGUAGAUCUUGGAAUUUGGAGCUAAAUAAGUAAUGGCAAUGGCGACCGAAGACGUGAGGAAGUUGUGAAUCAUAUUUGGAAAUUCAAGCUUGAGCCGAGAGAUAAGUAAUCGAUUCAAGUGCAUCGUUCAGCACAUCGAGACUAGUUACAAUGUAGGUAAUGGCAUCUCUUAGACUUCCACUCUGAGCUGCUUCGUUGUAUAAAGGUCAUGUUGUGUCAAAUAGUCAGACUUAUAAAGAUUAAUAGUCUAUCAGGAUUGUAUUAGCUAAAACUUGAGGUUGUGUAAUGAAUAUCACUUGUGAUGUUGAAAUUGCUUCGGAGUUGUUAAAUCUGGUUUUUGGUAUCUAGAUGCUACGUUUUAAAUAUUUUGUUUAUUUGGUUUAAGUAAACGAUAGUUUUAGUGAUGUCAGUUGAUUUUAUAUU